This 63-nucleotide transfer RNA is filed under the name Doliolum nationalis. RNAcentral's name for it is "tRNA-Gly". It matches the Rfam family "tRNA". From Rfam's summary of the family: Transfer RNA (tRNA) molecules are approximately 80 nucleotides in length. Their secondary structure includes four short double-helical elements and three loops (D, anti-codon, and T loops). Lineage: Eukaryota; Metazoa; Chordata; Thaliacea; Doliolida; Doliolidae. The record is from RNAcentral.
UAGGGUGUAGUUUAAGUUAAAAUUUUUGAUUUCCAAUCAAAAGAUAAGAAUUCUUUACUCCAA